RNAcentral lists this unclassified non-coding RNA (390 nucleotides) under soil metagenome. RNAcentral's name for it is "partial contains 5.8S ribosomal RNA, internal transcribed spacer 2, and large subunit ribosomal RNA". The stretch from base 1 to 122 matches the Rfam family "5.8S ribosomal RNA", at positions 35 to 154 of the family's 154-position model. The record is from RNAcentral.
GAUGAAGAACGUAGCGAAAUGCGAUACUUGGUGUGAAUUGCAGAAUCCCGUGAACCAUCGAGUCUUUGAACGCAAGUUGCGCCCGAAGCCAUUAGGCCGAGGGCACGCCUGCCUGGGCGUCACACGUCGUUGCCCCCCCAUCUACUCCUUCGGGAUUGCGGGGGGCGGAUGAUGGCUUCCCGUGCGCCUCGUCGCGCGGUUGGCAUAAAUGCCAAGUCCUCGGCGACGCACGCCACGACAAUCGGUGGUUGCGAAACCUCGGUUGCCCGUCGUGUGCGGUCGUCGCGCAUCGAGGGCUCGAAAAAAUUGUCGGGCUCCGGCUCGGCUUUCAACGCGACCCCAGGUCAGGCGGGGUUACCCGCUGAAUUUAAGCAUAUCAAAAGCGGAGGA